Molecule: ribosomal RNA, 1312 nt
Filed under: metagenome
Description: bacterial SSU rRNA
Rfam family: Bacterial small subunit ribosomal RNA
Source: RNAcentral
AGAGUUUGAUCCUGGCUCAGGACGAACGCUGGCGGCGUGCUUAACACAUGCAAGUCGAACGGUGACCUUGGAGCUUGCUCCAAGUGAUCAGUGGCGAACGGGUGAGUAACACGUGAGUAACCUGCCCCAGACUCUGGAAUAACCCCGGGAAACCGGAGCUAAUACCGGAUACGAGACGGAGUCGCAUGGCUACCGUCUGGAAAGUUUUUCGGUCUGGGAUGGACUCGCGGCCUAUCAGCUUGUUGGUGAGGUAACGGCUCACCAAGGCGACGACGGGUAGCCGGCCUGAGAGGGCGACCGGCCACACUGGGACUGAGACACGGCCCAGACUCCUACGGGAGGCAGCAGUGGGGAAUAUUGCACAAUGGGCGAAAGCCUGAUGCAGCGACGCCGCGUGAGGGAUGAAGGCCUUCGGGUUGUAAACCUCUUUCAGCAGGGAAGAAGCGAAAGUGACGGUACCUGCAGAAGAAGCACCGGCUAACUACGUGCCAGCAGCCGCGGUAAUACGUAGGGUGCGAGCGUUGUCCGGAAUUAUUGGGCGUAAAGAGCUUGUAGGCGGUUUGUCACGUCUGCUGUGAAAAUCCGAGGCUCAACCUCGGACUUGCAGUGGGUACGGGCAGACUAGAGUGUGGUAGGGGAGACUGGAAUUCCUGGUGUAGCGGUGGAAUGCGCAGAUAUCAGGAGGAACACCGAUGGCGAAGGCAGGUCUCUGGGCCACUACUGACGCUGAGAAGCGAAAGCAUGGGGAGCGAACAGGAUUAGAUACCCUGGUAGUCCAUGCCGUAAACGCUGGGCGCUAGGUGUGGGACUCAUUCCACGAGUUCCGUGCCGCAGCUAACGCAUUAAGCGCCCCGCCUGGGGAGUACGGCCGCAAGGCUAAAACUCAAAGGAAUUGACGGGGGCCCGCACAAGCGGCGGAGCAUGUGGAUUAAUUCGAUGCAACGCGAAGAACCUUACCAAGGCUUGACAUAUACCGGAAACAUCCAGAGAUGGGUGCCCCGCAAGGUCGGUAUACAGGUGGUGCAUGGUUGUCGUCAGCUCGUGUCGUGAGAUGUUGGGUUAAGUCCCGCAACGAGCGCAACCCUCGUUCUAUGUUGCCAGCGCGUCAUGGCGGGGACUCACAGGAGACUGCCGGGGUCAACUCGGAGGAAGGUGGGGAUGACGUCAAAUCAUCAUGCCCCUUAUGUCUUGGGCUUCACACAUGCUACAAUGGCCGGUACAAAGGGCUGCGAAAUCGCGAGAUGGAGCGAAUCCCAAAAAAACCGGUCUCAGAUCGGAUUGGGGUCUGCAACUCGACCCCAUGAAGUCGGAG